UUCACAGUUCCUCACGGCUGCUGGUACAUCAUCCUGGUCCACUUUUUCAACUUGACCUGAAACAGUGUUGUUGACCUUCCUUUCUUUCAGAAAUAGAGCUCGAGUACGGAUGCAGAGGAAAUAUACAUGGAGAAUGUGAUGCGACUGAGAGAAGAACAACCUACAACAGACUCAAGCGUAUGGAGAACAUCAGAAACUGGACACAUAUACCACAUCCACAGCAGACAUCUUUCUUCAGUGAUUUUAUUUUCAGAGGAAAUGCAGCUCAGCACCACCUUUAAGAUGGGCAGUUUCCAGUGGCACCACGUGGAGGAACGGACAUCGCCACCUAUAUAUACAGGGUUGCCCCUUGAGCGACGUCAUCUUUACAGCCGGGCUCAGCAGAGACCACAUUUGGAGGGUCGUCAUGACUACAGCCAGGCUCAGCAGAGACCACAUUUGGAGGGGGGUCAUCACCGCAGCCGGACUCAGCGGACAGAAAAUCUGUAGAGGCGUCAUCACCACAGCCGGACUCAGCGGACAGAAAAUCUGUAGAGGCGUCAUCACCACAGCCGGACUCAGCAGAGAAGAAGCUGCUGUAGGAGCUGGCUGUGAGCUCAAUACUACAGUUGAAUCCGGCUGAGUAAAUCUCUUGAGGAACAUUAUCACUACUUCUGGAGGAGCUGGCCGAGUCCUCACUGUGACCAUCGACAGACUCUACCAGUGAUUGUUCUUCACCGUGAACACUGUCAGGCUCUACCAGUGAUGGUUCUUCACCGUGAACACUGUCAGGCUCUACCAGUGAUGGUUCUUCACCGU
RNAcentral lists this long non-coding RNA (798 nucleotides) under Danio rerio (zebrafish). Its description in RNAcentral is "si:dkey-14a7.6 (ENSDARG00000096778.2)". Lineage: Eukaryota; Metazoa; Chordata; Actinopteri; Cypriniformes; Danionidae. The record is from RNAcentral.